This 1313-nucleotide ribosomal RNA is filed under the name Dytiscus sharpi. RNAcentral describes it as "16S ribosomal RNA". The stretch from base 1068 to 1226 matches the Rfam family "Archaeal large subunit ribosomal RNA", at positions 2544 to 2703 of the family's 2987-position model. The record is from RNAcentral. Lineage: Eukaryota; Metazoa; Arthropoda; Insecta; Coleoptera; Dytiscidae.
AAUUAUUAUAUUAUUUAUUUAUUUUUUUUAAAAUUUAUUUUUAAUAAAAAUAAUUUUAUAAAAUUUUUUUUUAGUAAUUUUUAAUAAAUAAAUUUUUUUAAUUAUAGUUUACUAGUAUUGUAUAAGAAUUAUGAAAUAAAUUUUAAUUAUAUAAAAGUAGUAUUUUUUUUAUGUACCUUGUGUAUCAGGGUUUAUUUAAUAAAGAUUAUAUAUUUAAUUUUCCCGAGUUUAAGAGAGAGAAUAAAUUAUUUUUUUUAUCGUGAAAAUGAUAUUUAUAAUAAUUUAUUAGUAAUGAAAUGUUAUUCGUUCUUAAAUAUAUCUGGUUUAUUUAGAAAUGAAUUUAAUUCAGUUUAUAUUAUUUUAAUAAUUUAUUUAUUUAAAUUAUUAAAUUUUAUUUAUAAUAAUUAAAGGGAUUAGCUUUUAAUUAAAAAUCUAAAAAUAAUUAAUUAAUUUAAAAUAUGUAAGUUUAGAAAUAUCUAUCAUUAAUAAUUUGUUAUAAUUAAUUUAUUUAAAAAUAUUAUUUAAUAAUAUUUUAGAUUAUAUAUAAAUAAAUAAAUUUUAAUAAUUAAAAUUUAGUUAUAAUGAUAAAAUUAGUAUAUAUGUAAAUAUUUAAAUAAUUUUUUAUGAAAGUUUAUUUAAAGUAAUUCGGCAAAAAUUUUGCUCGCCUGUUUAACAAAAACAUGUCCUUUUGUUUAUUAAUUUAAGGUCUGACCUGCCCACUGAAAUUUAAAUGGCCGCAGUAUUUUGACUGUGCAAAGGUAGCAUAAUCAUUAGUUUUUUAAUUAAAAGCUUGUAUGAAUGGUUGGACGAAGUAAAUUCUGUCUCUAUUUAAUUUAUAUUAAAAUUUAAUUUUUAAGUUAAAAAGCUUAAAUAUUAUUAAAAGACGAGAAGACCCUAUAGAUCUUUAUAUUUUAUUUAUUAAUUUUAAUAUAGAAAUUUUUAUUUUUUAAUAUUAAAAAUAUUUUAUUGGGGUAAUAAAAAGAUUAAUAAAAUUCUUUUUUUUUUAUUACAUUAAUUUAUGAUUGUAUGAUCCAAUUUUUUUGAUUAUAAGAUUAAGUUACCUUAGGGAUAACAGCGUAAUUUUUUUUGAGAGUUCAUAUCGAUAAAAAAGUUUGCGACCUCGAUGUUGGAUUAAAAAUUAUCUUAGGUGCAGAAGUUUAAGAUUUUGGUCUGUUCGACCAUUAAAUUUUUACAUGAUCUGAGUUCAGACCGGUGUAAGCCAGGUCGGUUUCUAUCUUUAAUUAAUUAUUAUAUUUUAGUACGAAAGGACCAAAUAUUUAAUAUAUAUAUAUUUAAUUUUUGAAUAUUAUUAA